GACGAACGCUGGCGGCGCGCUUAAUACAUGCAAGUCGAGCGAGAACCAGGGCUUCGGCCCUGGGGACAGCGGCGAACGGGUGAGUAACACGUGGAUAACCUACCCUCGGCACCGGAAUAGCCCGGGGAAACUCGGAUUAAUGCCGGAUAGCCCCACAUCCUCUCGAGGAACGUGGGAAAGGUAGCUUCGGCCUCUGGCCGGGGAUGGGUCCGCGGUGGAUUAGCUUGUUGGUGCGGGUAAUGGCCCACCAAGGCGACGAUCCAUAGCUGGUCUGAGAGGACGAUCAGCCACACUGGGACUGAGACACGGCCCAGACUCCUACGGGAGGGCAGCAGUAGGGAAGUCUUGCGCAAUGGGCGAAAGCCUGACGCAGCGACGCCGCGUGCGGGAAGAAGGCCUCGGUUGUAACG
This 410-nucleotide ribosomal RNA is filed under the name uncultured bacterium. RNAcentral's name for it is "bacterial SSU rRNA". It matches the Rfam family "Bacterial small subunit ribosomal RNA", at positions 28 to 430 of the family's 1533-position model. The record is from RNAcentral.